GCAUAAGGAAUUCGAUGGAUUACGCCAACUGAAAUCAAUUACCCCAUACGUUUCAUUCAUGCAAUUAUUUAACACCGAACCCAUCAUGGAAUUGGGUAGGGUUUUCACCCCUGCCCCAACUCAUCGACCUUGUUGUUCUGGGCUUCUUUUUCGAUUUAUGGGAUGUUGUUAAUGGGUAUGAACAGAGUUUAGACAUUGCACAAAAUCAAUCAAAGAAGAUGUAAUCGGGAGAACCGAAUCCACGACUGUAAGUUUUAAAUCAUUCGAUUUGUUGAUUCCAAACAAAAGUUUUCACUUCUAAUUUACAACAGAUUUCAUGGUAUUGUUUGCUAAAUGAUUUGUAAAGUUUUUAUCUCAUUCCACUUUGGAUUUCGAUUACUCUUCCUAUUCAACUGUUUUGAUUUAAUUGACGAUUGUGUGACUUUAGUUUAGGUUUAUUCAUGGCGAUUUUGCAAUUAGGGCUUUUAAUUGCUGUUUAUGAUGUUGAAUUUCGAAUUACUUUGAUUUAGCCUUGAAGGUCAGUUACCAUUGAUGAUAUUUAAUUUGAUAAUGUUUAACUUAUGGUUGACUCUGGAUUAAAGCUCAGGCAAUUUCAUACAUCAGUUGUUAGUAUCGCUAGGUUUGUAAUUCUUGCCUAAAUCGCUUUCUAAUUCACAAGGGAUUUGACGGUAGUUGAUAAUCGAUUUUAAUGAACAGAAUCAUCACUUCUGAUGCCAGGUUUCGAAGUUAGGAUUUCAAAUGAUUCAAUCAACCAGUUUCCUAAUCUUUAAAGAUUGGUUUGUCAUAUUAAAAACGUGUAUUUUGAUGUUUGUUACCUGUAAUGGUAAUUGGGCUGAGAGAAAAAAAAUUGCUUCCUGAUUAAUUGAGUUUUCCAAAGACUUCCUUUUUUGGAUUAAUUUCGAUCCGUUUACUUCUUUCUCGAGAUUUUGUAUUUUUUUCAUUGAUUUUGAAAUCGGGAAGAAGAGUCAAAGGAUCAAUAUAGUGAGUUUCCAAACAUUGUUUUACCGAUUUAAGAUCAGGUUUUUGGCAAGUUAAUUGUUGCUGGUUUGCAGGGUUUAGCUAUUUGGAUUAUUUUUGUUAAAGGGGUAGUGGCUGCUGUUGUGUUAAAUGUUGUUUGGAGCAGGAUUUUUUGCAAGACAAGUUCAGUUAAUCUUUGCUGUUUGCUGACUCUGUUUUCCUCCAUCUAUCUCUCUCUUUUUGUAGUUAGCCUUUCAAUCAAUGAAGAAUCUUGUUUCAUUUGAGUUAAACAUUGUUGCUUCUACAAUUACUUGAUUUUCCAUUUUUGAGCUAUCUAUAUAUUUUGUAACUAUUUGGCAUAUGAUAUGACAAUCAACGUAGACAUAUUCUGUUAGUUUGCGAGCAAAUAGUGGUAAUAGGUUGGAAAUGAAUGUAUAUGAUUGUGGGAUUAUACAAUGCCUUCAACUCCUGAUCUGAAAAGGUCCAUCUUCCACCGACUCAGGUAAGUAACUCUUUACUCGAUCUACUCCACCCUACAUAUCACAUGUUAAACUGAUGUUGAAAUUAGGGAUUUGAUUUAGUGUGCAUAAGAUUCUCUUUUUUUUAACAUCUCUGCUAACCCAAAUGAAAAUUAGGUUUAUCAUGUUUCAAAAAUAUACUUCUUAAAUGUAUAUGUAUAACCGCAACAGCCUCCGGUUUUCAAAUCAAAUCGAGAAGAAGAAGAACACAUCAAAUCCAGAAUCUCGGAGGUAUAUUCAGGAAUCAAUAGGUUAUUCAAUCUUGUAACUAUGUGAUUUCUGGUUCUGUGUCUUGCAUUUUGUUUCCUACAUGUUUUGAUCCGUGAUGUUUUUUGGAUAUUCUAUUCGGAUUUGGAGCUAUGAUUGUUUAUGAGUUGUUUGAUGAUAUGCGUCUGAGGCAAUGUUCGUGUAUGCAUGUUUUUAUUCUGUUUGAUAUCGUUAAUAAUGUAAUUAUUGUUAAAAAUAUCUGAUGAUCGUCAAGGCGUUUUAAGUUUUUAUGACCUGCUUCUUUUCUUCCAGCCUGGAACCCGUCAAUCCUUCCAUUUUCCUUUUCAGUGCUGAAGACAGCCAGACAUACCAAAGAAGUAGGGCUUCUCCUCUUCUUUUCUCCCCUUCUGAAUCAUGAGUAUCUAAAGAGGAUGAAUGGCGCACAAAUGAAAUCUCAAAUCUCCCAAAAUUCAAAUUUCAAAUCUCUGAUAUAAAGUCACACCUUCUACACUCGAUCAAUGUUCUGUAUUUAGAGAGUCAAACCACAGGUUGUUCUUGCAUAUCAAUCUUCUAUUUAAUCCCCGUCUCUGUUCUUAAUCCAUCCGUGAUUGAAAAUUUGAAAGCGGUGGGUGGGGGCUUAUCUCUCUCUCUCUCUCUCAAGAUUUCGCCCUUCAUCAUCCUAUGGCUACCUAAAUUAUACGUCGUUUGCCCUACGCAAGGUUUAAUUUGAUCUCAAUUGUUUCUUUGGUUGAAGAUUUGUUGUUUUAUGGCCACUGAAGUUGAAUUGAGGUUGGUCUACAUUGGUUCACCAAGAAAAAGAGGUUCGUAUUAUGUUCAAACAAUGAAAUUAAAUCUAUUUAGUCUUGUGUAUCCAAUAUCUUAAUUAAUUACUCUCAAAGCAGCAACCAAGAAUCAAAUUUAGGGUUUCGUUCGUCUGCACCUUUAAUCGAAUUAGAGAGGAGAUAAUUGCAACAUCCCAACCUGUUACUGUAUUUCUCAUUUGAUUCGAUAUGUAGUAUUUGGUUGUAAAAAAUACAACUUGAUCACUUUAUCAUCUUGCUGCCCAAAUAAUUUGUAGAUAAUCAACCAAUUUGCUGUCAAAAUUACAAUUUGUUAUUUAUUGAUGGUUUAGUACUUAUUUUUAUUUCCUUUGUUUCAUGUGAAUAUCAUUUAUCUGCUGGUCUUGGAACUAAUAAAGUUGUUGCGGAGCGCUGGGCACUGGACGUGUAGCUGGGCUGAAGUAUUUGGGCUGUGAACAGAUCUUGUUGUGGUCUGUAACAUUAUGGUUGGUCUUCUGGUGGGCUACUUCUCAUCAGCUACUUGCUGAGGUAAGUGCAUAUGAGUCCCUGAUUUACAUUCGAUUGUACGCGUCUUAUGUCUGCAGAGGUUCAUUAUGAACUUGUAGAAGAGUUUCUGGUCAAGUGUGUAUUAUUUAUUUUCUUGUGUUGUAUAAAAACCAUUUGAAGAGUUUUUGUUAUGUUUUCGUCAAGCAUCUACAACAAUUACCAAGGACCAUGUAAAGUUGGAAAGUGGAACUACUCGGGCAGUCUUCAAGAAUAUGUUUGAACUCAAGCAAUUAUAGAAUUAUACAACUCCGUUUAACACACGGGUCUAGAUAGGGUUGUCCAAAAAGCUUGCGGCUUGGAGCUUGCUUGGAUUUAGCUCGGAAAAAGCUCACUCGAUAUGGCUCGGUUUGAAACUGAACCGAGUCCGCUCGGCUCGAUUAGAAAGUGAGCCUGGCUCGGCUCGUCUUGUAACGAGCCGGAUUGGCUUACUCGUUAGCUUCGCUUGGGCUAGGUUAGAUUAUUUAUUUUAAAAAACGAUUAUUAUUUGUAUUCAUUAAGAGUGCAAAUGGAUAUGUGUGGCGUAUUUAGGGGUUGAUUACCAUGCUAAUAAAUUGAUAUUGU
This is a long non-coding RNA of Helianthus annuus (common sunflower), 3589 nucleotides long. RefSeq lists it as uncharacterized. NCBI's taxonomy places the organism in Eukaryota, Viridiplantae, Streptophyta, Magnoliopsida, Asterales, Asteraceae. The transcript has 5 exons. The record is from RefSeq and is a predicted model, not a curated record.